GAUGAAGAACGUAGCAAAAUGCGAUAAGUAAUGUGAAUUGCAGAAUUCAGUGAAUCAUCGAAUCUUUGAACGCACAUUGCGCCCGCCAGCACUCUGGCGGGCAUGCCUGUUCGAGCGUCAUUUCAACCAUCAAGCCCCAGGCUUGCGUUGGAGCCCUGCGGCUGCCGCAGCCUCCUAAAAGCAGUGGCGGGCUCGCUAUCACACCGAGUGCAGUAGAUUACUCUUCGCUCAGGGCGUGCAGCGGGUUCCGGCCGUGAAACCCCCUACUUUUAAAGGUUGACCUCGGAUCAGGUAGGAAUACCCGCUGAACUUAAGCAUAUCAAUAAGCGGAGGA
Molecule: unclassified non-coding RNA, 334 nt
Filed under: soil metagenome
Description: partial contains 5.8S ribosomal RNA, internal transcribed spacer 2, and large subunit ribosomal RNA
Rfam family: 5.8S ribosomal RNA (bases 1-120)
Source: RNAcentral